Non-coding RNA from Punica granatum (pomegranate), 1703 nucleotides. Lineage: Eukaryota; Viridiplantae; Streptophyta; Magnoliopsida; Myrtales; Lythraceae. The record is from RefSeq and is a predicted model, not a curated record.
AUUAUUUUAGAUUGUGAAUGUUCUCCACCUUGUCUUUUAUUGACAAUUGCCCAUAUUUCAUUGUUCUAAUUGCAGAUUGCUCGGCAAUUGAUGGGGAAGAUUUUAAUUGAUCUACGAAAUACUCUUGAAGAGGCAAUUUAUGUUGCAGGUCUUAAGAGCGAGCAAGAACAACAGUCAAAACAGAGUGAUGCAGAAAAGGAUGAAGCAGAUGGUCCUUUAAAACAUCACAUAUGUUAUGAAGAGUUCCGGAGAUGUAGCACUAAUGGCGAGAAGGUGCUGGAUCAGGAUGAUGAGGAAGAUAAAGAAACCAAAUAUCGUUUGGAUCCAAAGUAUGCAAAUGUCAGGACUCCAGACCGCCAUGUCCGCACUCGGCUUUACUUCACAUCAGAAUCUCAUAUCCAUUCCUUGAUGAAUGUUCUCCGAUACUGCAACCUGGACGACUCCCUGCUGGGGGAGGACAGCCUUGUCCGCCACAGUGGUCUGGGGCGAUUGUACAAGACAAAGGAGCUGGACUACAUGAGUUACAUUGUCUUGAGAAUGUUUGAGAACACAGAGGUUUGUGGGUCUUAUUCAUCUGUUUCCUUGACAGUAUGUCUCCUAAAGCAAACUAGCAAAGCAUUGUUGGACAUAAUAUAUAUGUAUAUAGAGUGUUCUUGGUAGCAAACUAUACGGUGAGUUGGGAUUGCAUUGUGAAUAUUGCCAAAUUCUGCAGGUGGCUUUGGAGGAUCCGAAAAGGUUCCGGACAGAGAUGAUCUUUAGCCGUGGUGCUGAUUUAUCUCCACUAGAGUGAUGGAACCAAGGAGCACACGCGUGAUUUGAGAAAAUGAACGACAGUGAGGCUGCUUCGUUACACCAGGAGCACACGCUUCCGAUAAUGGGUCCAGAAAGGCUGCAAGAAGUAGGAUCAUAUCUGAUGCUGGAGAAGAUGGAGAAGAUGAUACGCCCAUUCGUGAUGCCAGUAGAGGAUUUCCCUCCACCGUCAACCCCUCAGGGAUUCUCGGGUUACUUCUCCAAGAGCGCUGCUGUUCUUGAGCGACUGGUAAAUCUAUGGCCUUUCAAUAAGCACGGCUAUGCCAAUGGAGGUAAGAAGUAGAGACCCGCGUAGAGCCCAAUAGCUUUUUCUCUUCUGUUCAAAUUCGUUUGAGAUGUUUUUGAUGUAAGUAGGAAUGAUACUACAUCCACAGAGUUUAAGUCCUUGUAUCCGUCACCCACUUCUCUUGGCCCUUCUCAACCUAACUCUCACUUUCACCAUUAAAAACCCACCACCAUUUCAAAUGGUUCUCCCAAAGCUUUUAUGGAUUCCAAGUGACUCAUUCCAAAGCCGUCGUGUAGCAGUCCAGUCUCACCAGAAUGUGAUACCCAAACUUUUCUAUAAAAAUCACAAUUUCAGAAUCUUUAAAUAUACAUGCGUGCGUACAAGAAUGGAUCAAUCUGAGCUGAGGGGACAGUCACCUCCUAAAAUUUUAACAUCUUGAAUAAAUUUUUUGGUGUGUACAUCUUAAACAAAUUCCAUAGGUUCGCUUCCUAACUCAGAAAACUGGUAACCGAGGAUUUGAACUUUAAUGUAGCAAUGGAAUUCAGAAAGAGGAAAAAAGUAACUUUUUCGUUUGUUUAGGCUAUAACUCAAAAAAGUAAAAAAUUAGGGUACUGUGCUUUGAAGUAUAUGAUAAGCUCAGUGUCAGAGAAGUAAUUUUCCAAUUUUU